Pongo abelii (Sumatran orangutan) is the source of this 87-nucleotide microRNA precursor. Ensembl annotates it as microRNA 520c. Its record names the gene MIR520C. The record is from Ensembl. NCBI's taxonomy places the organism in Eukaryota, Metazoa, Chordata, Mammalia, Primates, Hominidae.
UCUCAGGCUGUGAUCCUCUGGAAGGAAGCACUUUCUGUUGUCUGAAAGAAAAGAAAGUGCUUCCUUUUAGAGGGUUACCGUUUGAGA